GACGAACGCUGGCGGCGUGCUUAACACAUGCAAGUCGAACGGAAAGGCCCUUUUGGGGGUACUUGAGUGGCGAACGGGUGAGUAACACGUGAGUAACCAGCCCUUGCUUUCGGUUUAACUUCAGUAAACUGGGGCUAAUACCGGAUAGGAAUCCUUUCUGCAUGGGGGGGGUUGGAAAGCUUCGGGGGUCUUGGGUGGAUUCGCGGGCUGUUAGCUUGGUGGUGGGGUGGUGGGUUACCAACGCUUUGACGGGUAGCCGGGCAGCGGAGGCGAACGGCCGACUUGGGACUGAGGUGCGGCCCCGGAUCCUACGGGGGGCAACAGGGGGGAAUAUUGCACAAUGGGCGGCAGGCUGGUGCAGCAACGCCGCGGGCGGGAUGGCGGCCUUCUGGUUGUAAAACGGUUUCAGCAGGGGCGAAGCUUGUGGUGACGGUACCUGCAGAAGAAGCACCGGCUAACUACGUG
RNAcentral lists this ribosomal RNA (465 nucleotides) under uncultured bacterium. Its description in RNAcentral is "partial 16S ribosomal RNA". It matches the Rfam family "Bacterial small subunit ribosomal RNA", at positions 28 to 507 of the family's 1533-position model. The record is from RNAcentral.